Molecule: ribosomal RNA, 253 nt
Filed under: uncultured bacterium
Lineage: Bacteria
Description: partial 16S ribosomal RNA
Rfam family: Bacterial small subunit ribosomal RNA
Source: RNAcentral
UACGGAGGGUGCAAGCGUUGUCCGGAUUUAUUGGGUUUAAAGGGUGCGUAGGCGGCCCGUUAAGUCAGUGGUGAAAGCCUCCAGCUCAACUGGAGAACUGCCAUUGAUACUGACGGGCUUGAGUACAGUUGAGGUGGGCGGAAUGUGUCAUGUAGCGGUGAAAUGCUUAGAUAUGACACAGAACACCGAUUGCGAAGGCAGCUCACUAAGCUGUAACUGACACUGAGGCACGAAAGCGUGGGGAGCAAACAGG